UGGGGAAUAUUGCACAAUGGGCGCAAGCCUGAUGCUGCCAUGCCGCGUGUAUGAAGAAGGCCUUCGGGUUGUAAAGUACUUUCAGCGGGGAGGAAGGGAGUAAAGUUAAUACCUUUGCUCAUUGACGUUACCCGCAGAAGAAGCACCGGCUAACUCCGUGCCAGCAGCCGCGGUAAUACGGAGGGUGCAAGCGGUAAUCGGAAUUACUGGGCGUAAAGCGCACGCAGGCGGUUUGUUAAGUCAGAUGUGAAAUCCCCGGGCUCAACCUAGGAACUGCAUCUGAUACUGGCAAGCUUGAGUCUCGGAGAGGGGGGUAGAAUUCCAGGUGUAGCGGUGAAAUGCGUAGAGAUCUGGAGGAAUACCGGUGGCGAAGGCGGCCCCCUGGACGAAGACUGACGCUCAGGUGCGAAAGCGUGGGGAGCAAACAGG
RNAcentral lists this ribosomal RNA (429 nucleotides) under Chloroflexota bacterium. RNAcentral describes it as "Chloroflexi bacterium partial 16S ribosomal RNA". It matches the Rfam family "Bacterial small subunit ribosomal RNA", at positions 355 to 776 of the family's 1533-position model. Lineage: Bacteria; Bacillati; Chloroflexota. The record is from RNAcentral.